RNAcentral lists this ribosomal RNA (2923 nucleotides) under Klebsiella pneumoniae. RNAcentral describes it as "bacterial LSU rRNA". It matches the Rfam family "Bacterial large subunit ribosomal RNA". The record is from RNAcentral. Lineage: Bacteria; Pseudomonadati; Pseudomonadota; Gammaproteobacteria; Enterobacterales; Enterobacteriaceae.
GGGUUGUGAGGUUAAGCGACUAAGCGUACACGGUGGAUGCCCUGGCAGUCAGAGGCGAUGAAGGACGUGCUAAUCUGCGAAAAGCGUCGGUAAGGUGAUAUGAACCGUUAUAACCGGCGAUGUCCGAAUGGGGAAACCCAGUGCAAUUCGUUGCACUAUCGUUAACUGAAUACAUAGGUUAACGAGGCGAACCGGGGGAACUGAAACAUCUAAGUACCCCGAGGAAAAGAAAUCAACCGAGAUUCCCCCAGUAGCGGCGAGCGAACGGGGAGCAGCCCAGAGUCUGAAUCAGCUUGUGUGUUAGUGGAACGGUCUGGAAAGUCCGACGGUACAGGGUGAUAGUCCCGUACACCAAAAUGCACAGGUUGUGAACUCGAAGAGUAGGGCGGGACACGUGGUAUCCUGUCUGAAUAUGGGGGGACCAUCCUCCAAGGCUAAAUACUCCUGACUGACCGAUAGUGAACCAGUACCGUGAGGGAAAGGCGAAAAGAACCCCGGCGAGGGGAGUGAAAAAGAACCUGAAACCGUGUACGUACAAGCAGUGGGAGCACCUUCGGGUGUGACUGCGUACCUUUUGUAUAAUGGGUCAGCGACUUAUAUUCUGUAGCAAGGUUAACCGUAUAGGGGAGCCGCAGGGAAACCGAGUCUUAACUGGGCGUUAAGUUGCAGGGUAUAGACCCGAAACCCGGUGAUCUAGCCAUGGGCAGGUUGAAGGUUGGGUAACACUAACUGGAGGACCGAACCGACUAAUGUUGAAAAAUUAGCGGAUGACUUGUGGCUGGGGGUGAAAGGCCAAUCAAACCGGGAGAUAGCUGGUUCUCCCCGAAAGCUAUUUAGGUAGCGCCUCGUGAAUUCAUCUUCGGGGGUAGAGCACUGUUUCGGCUAGGGGGUCAUCCCGACUUACCAACCCGAUGCAAACUACGAAUACCGAAGAAUGUUAUCACGGGAGACACACGGCGGGUGCUAACGUCCGUCGUGAAGAGGGAAACAACCCAGACCGCCAGCUAAGGUCCCAAAGUCAUGGUUAAGUGGGAAACGAUGUGGGAAGGCACAGACAGCCAGGAUGUUGGCUUAGAAGCAGCCAUCAUUUAAAGAAAGCGUAAUAGCUCACUGGUCGAGUCGGCCUGCGCGGAAGAUGUAACGGGGCUAAACCAUGCACCGAAGCUGCGGCAGCGACACUAUGUGUUGUUGGGUAGGGGAGCGUUCUGUAAGCCUGCGAAGGUGUGCUGUGAGGCAUGCUGGAGGUAUCAGAAGUGCGAAUGCUGACAUAAGUAACGAUAAAGCGGGUGAAAAGCCCGCUCGCCGGAAGACCAAGGGUUCCUGUCCAACGUUAAUCGGGGCAGGGUGAGUCGACCCCUAAGGCGAGGCCGAAAGGCGUAGUCGAUGGGAAACAGGUUAAUAUUCCUGUACUUGGUGUUACUGCGAAGGGGGGACGGAGAAGGCUAUGUUAGCCGGGCGACGGUUGUCCCGGUUUAAGCAUGUAGGCUGAUUGUCCAGGCAAAUCCGGAUAAUCAAGGCUGAGGUGUGAUGACGAGGCACUACGGUGCUGAAGUAACAAAUGCCCUGCUUCCAGGAAAAGCCUCUAAGCAUCAGGUAACAUUAAAUCGUACCCCAAACCGACACAGGUGGUCAGGUAGAGAAUACCAAGGCGCUUGAGAGAACUCGGGUGAAGGAACUAGGCAAAAUGGUGCCGUAACUUCGGGAGAAGGCACGCUGGUGUGUAGGUGAAGUCCCUGCGGAUGGAGCUGAGACCAGUCGAAGAUACCAGCUGGCUGCAACUGUUUAUUAAAAACACAGCACUGUGCAAACACGAAAGUGGACGUAUACGGUGUGACGCCUGCCCGGUGCCGGAAGGUUAAUUGAUGGGGUUAUCCGUAAGGAGAAGCUCUUGAUCGAAGCCCCGGUAAACGGCGGCCGUAACUAUAACGGUCCUAAGGUAGCGAAAUUCCUUGUCGGGUAAGUUCCGACCUGCACGAAUGGCGUAAUGAUGGCCAGGCUGUCUCCACCCGAGACUCAGUGAAAUUGAACUCGCUGUGAAGAUGCAGUGUACCCGCGGCAAGACGGAAAGACCCCGUGAACCUUUACUAUAGCUUGACACUGAACAUUGAGCCUUGAUGUGUAGGAUAGGUGGGAGGCUUUGAAGCGUGGACGCCAGUCUGCGUGGAGCCAACCUUGAAAUACCACCCUUUAAUGUUUGAUGUUCUAACGUUGGCCCCUUAUCGGGGUUGCGGACAGUGUCUGGUGGGUAGUUUGACUGGGGCGGUCUCCUCCCAAAGCGUAACGGAGGAGCACGAAGGUUAGCUAAUCCUGGUCGGACAUCAGGAGGUUAGUGCAAUGGCAUAAGCUAGCUUGACUGCGAGCGUGACGGCGCGAGCAGGUGCGAAAGCAGGUCAUAGUGAUCCGGUGGUUCUGAAUGGAAGGGCCAUCGCUCAACGGAUAAAAGGUACUCCGGGGAUAACAGGCUGAUACCGCCCAAGAGUUCAUAUCGACGGCGGUGUUUGGCACCUCGAUGUCGGCUCAUCACAUCCUGGGGCUGAAGUAGGUCCCAAGGGUAUGGCUGUUCGCCAUUUAAAGUGGUACGCGAGCUGGGUUUAGAACGUCGUGAGACAGUUCGGUCCCUAUCUGCCGUGGGCGCUGGAGAAUUGAGGGGGGCUGCUCCUAGUACGAGAGGACCGGAGUGGACGCAUCACUGGUGUUCGGGUUGUCAUGCCAAUGGCACUGCCCGGUAGCUAAAUGCGGAAGAGAUAAGUGCUGAAAGCAUCUAAGCACGAAACUUGCCCCGAGAUGAGUUCUCCCUGAGACUUUAAGUCUCCUGAAGGAACGUUAAAGACGAUGACGUUGAUAGGCCGGGUGUGUAAGCGCAGCGAUGCGUUGAGCUAACCGGUACUAAUGAACCGUGAGGCUUAACCUUACAACGCCGAAG